Molecule: ribosomal RNA, 797 nt
Filed under: uncultured bacterium
Lineage: Bacteria
Also listed under: 1 other name
Description: bacterial SSU rRNA
Rfam family: Bacterial small subunit ribosomal RNA
Source: RNAcentral
GGAUCCAGACUUUGAUUCUGGCUCAGGAUGAACGCUAGCUACAGGCUUAACACAUGCAAGUCGAGGGGAAACGACAUCGAAAGCUUGCUUUUGAUGGGCGUCGACCGGCGCACGGGUGAGUAACGCGUAUCCAACCUGCCCAUCACUUGGGGAUAACCUUGCGAAAGUAAGACUAAUACCCAAUGAUAUCUCUAGAAGACAUCUGAAAGAGAUUAAAGAUUUAUCGGUGAUGGAUGGGGAUGCGUCUGAUUAGCUUGUUGGCGGGGUAACGGCCCACCAAGGCGACGAUCAGUAGGGGUUCUGAGAGGAAGGUCCCCCACAUUGGAACUGAGACACGGUCCAAACUCCUACGGGAGGCAGCAGUGAGGAAUAUUGGUCAAUGGGCGAGAGUCUGAACCAGCCAAGUAGCGUGCAGGAUGGCGGCCCUAUGGGUUGUAAACUGCUUUUAUAAGGGAAUAAAGUGAGAGUCGUGACUCUUUUUGCAUGUACCUUAUGAAUAAGGACCGGCUAAUUCCGUGCCAGCAGCCGCGGUAAUACGGAAGGUCCGGGCGUUAUCCGGAUUUAUUGGGUUUAAAGGGAGCGUAGGCCGGAGAUUAAGCGUGUUGUGAAAUGUAGACGCUCAACGUCUGCACUGCAGCGCGAACUGGUUUCCUUGAGUACGCACAAAGUGGGCGGAAUUCGUGGUGUAGCGGUGAAAUGCUUAGAUAUCACGAAGAACUCCGAUUGCGAAGGCAGCUCACUGGAGCGCAACUGACGCUGAAGCUCGAAACUGCGGGUAUCGAACAGGAUUAGAUACA